This 1133-nucleotide small RNA is filed under the name Drosophila mojavensis. RNAcentral describes it as "GI26604". Lineage: Eukaryota; Metazoa; Arthropoda; Insecta; Diptera; Drosophilidae. The record is from RNAcentral.
AAGCAAAAUAACCAAAAAGAACUGACAAAACUUUUUAGCCCAACAUUUGUUGUUUUCCCAAUCAUUUAAAACAUACGUAUGCUUGCAUAUAUAUACAAGUACAUAAUGUAUAUAUGUAUCUACACCUACUUAACUAAAGAAAAAACGCGUGUAUAUAACAAACGAUAAUUCAAUAAUUUUAAAAUAACCAAAAAGGUAGCUGUUAAAUAUGUAAUUCAAAAUGCGUGUCAAGCCGUCCUCUUUACAAAGAAAUGAUCACAAAGUAUAUGAAAUAUAUAUGAUAAACAAGUAAACAAAUAAAUCCAUUACAUUUUCAACAACAAUUGUUCAGUAACAAUGACUUUAGCCUUUGUAAUAUAAUAUAACAUAAAUAAUAAAAAAAAAAACACAUCUAAUGCGAGUACAAUAAUAAAACAAGGCGUAGCUUCUAUCUUGCUAAACGAGUGAGAGACAACAAAAUGGCUGACGCCUUGUCUCUGGCCCACCUUUUCGCGCGCGUGUGAAAUAAAACAAAAACAACAAAAAAGUAGAAAAUAAAAUUAAAUUAAAAAAAUAAAAAACCAAAUCAACAAAAGCAAAGAAAAAUAAAAAUAAAAUUAAAAUUAAAAUAAACAAAAAAUAAAAAACUAAGCAUCAGUGAAAAGUAUUAACAAGAAUUAUAUUAACAUCAACGCCGACAACAACAAGAACAACAACGAGAGCAACGUCAACAACAACAAUAACAAGAAAAUCAUCAUAAUCAAGAAGCAGCAGCAGCACGAGCCGUGGAAAAUCAACUCAAUGCCAAAGUGAAUGCCGGAUAUAGAAAGACUCAUAUAGAUUGUUGUGCAUACAGCCAACACAUAUACAAGCAUACACACACACACAGAUACACAUUUAUACAUGUACAUACAUACACACACACACAUACAUAGGGCAAAUAAGAGCAAUAGAUGUGGUUGUCAUUCACACUGCUGAUGUCGUCAAAGUUGCCAUUGCCGUCGUCGUCGUCGCCGUUGCCGUCGCAGUCGCUGCCAUUGCCAGCGACAAUCAACAUUUAGGAAAUUCAUCAUACGCACUGUGGGACACGACCCAGGCAAAUGCAGUGCCCGAUUGAAAGAUUUUUGAUUUUGUAUCCCCAUCAUCACCACCAC